CGGGACGUAGCUCAGCUUGGUAGAGCACUUGGUUUGGGACCAAGGGGUCGCAGGUUCGAAUCCUGUCUUCCCGACCA
Molecule: transfer RNA, 77 nt
Filed under: Sporosarcina globispora
Lineage: Bacteria; Bacillati; Bacillota; Bacilli; Caryophanales; Caryophanaceae
Also listed under: 15 other names
Description: tRNA-Pro
Rfam family: tRNA
About the family: Transfer RNA (tRNA) molecules are approximately 80 nucleotides in length. Their secondary structure includes four short double-helical elements and three loops (D, anti-codon, and T loops).
Source: RNAcentral